GAUGAACGCUGGCGGCGUGCCUAAUACAUGCAAGUCGAGCGAACGGACGAGAAGCUUGCUUCUCUGAUGUUAGCGGCGGACGGGUGAGUAACACGUGGAUAACCUACCUAUAAGACUGGGAUAACUUCGGGAAACCGUAGCUAAUACCGGAUAAUAUUUUGAACCGCAUGGUUCAAAAGUGAAAGACGGUCUUGCUGUCACUUAUGGAUGGAUCCGCGCUGCAUUAGCUAGUUGGUAAGGUAACGGCUUACCAAGGCAACGAUGCAUAGCCGACCUGAGAGGGUGAUCGGCCACACUGGAACUGAGACACGGUCCAGACUCCUACGGGAGGCAGCAGUAGGGAAUCUUCCGCAAUGGGCGAAAGCCUGACGGAGCAACGCCGCGUGAGUGAUGAAGGUCUUCGGAUCGUAAAACUCCGUUAUUAGGGAAGAACAUAUGUGUAAGUAACUGUGCACAUCUUGACGGUACCUAAUCAGAAAGCCACGGCUAACUACGUG
Molecule: ribosomal RNA, 497 nt
Filed under: uncultured bacterium
Lineage: Bacteria
Description: partial 16S ribosomal RNA
Rfam family: Bacterial small subunit ribosomal RNA
Source: RNAcentral